Chrysemys picta bellii (western painted turtle) is the source of this 1595-nucleotide long non-coding RNA. RefSeq lists it as uncharacterized. The record is from RefSeq and is a predicted model, not a curated record. Lineage: Eukaryota; Metazoa; Chordata; Testudines; Emydidae.
GAUAGGUGAUUGGCCAUCAGCUUUGGUGACACCUGGUUAGAGGCAUCAGCUUGUCUAUUGUUUAAACGGUUAACCAAUUAAAGGGAGAGGGGCUGAGGUUGCUUUUGGGGCCAGUUGGCCGGCCGUUGGGCUGGGUUCGGCCGGCUGGCCGGCCGGUUGGCCAGCCAGCACGGCUGGAGUCUGGUGUGGCACAGCUGAGGUCCGGGGUACAGCCAGUGUGGCUGAGAUCCGGUGUGUCACAGCCGGGGUCUGUCCAGCAGGGCCGGGGUCCAGCCAGCUCAGCAGGGGGUUAAUGGUUAAUGUCGGUUAACUAGUAAGCCUAAUGCUUACCGAUUAACUGGUUAACAUUUUACAUUCCUAGGAGGGAGUGAAUACAGGGGUGCAUUCUAUCACAGAGACCUGUCAUCGUUAUACUGUAGUUUCGUUUGUAAGUCUUGGAGGAGGCUGUGUGUGUUUCCUAUAGACCACAAAUGCACCAACUGGAAAUGACUGAUAAUCAGGAGCACCCAACACAUAUGUCCGGCAAGGAGCACUAUCUCAGACCUACACUACAAUGAGUAAUCUCACUUGGCAGGUGCAUAGCAUUGUUAAGGCACAGAUCCUACUUUACAGAAAAUGGCUUGUGCUUUUUUUGUAUUAGGUAAAGGGUCUUUUUUCAGAAUGUCAGGGGAUGUCACUCUCAUAAUCCAGCAUUUUUUAUCUAGGUGCCUCUCAGUUUCUGAAUGCUAUGCUGACACAAGUUCUGACAUACAUCCAGUUUCCAAGCACUCCACUGCUGCCCCUGAUUCAGACUGUUCUGAACAUGCCAUUGUCAGCUAUGGAGAUUUCACUGUUAGCUCACACCACAAAAACUGCACAGUUUCCUACCUACACUGUGAGUUCCCCAGCGAUGCAGACUGCCUAAGCAGGCCUACUUUGCUUUCUCCUCAGAGGUUAUAAAUAGUAUAAUUCCCUGAAGCUGUAAGUAAUCACACAGUCCUUUCUAAACAAAUACAUUUAUUCUUAAAGUAAAAGCAUUACAGAGAAAACAUAUAUUUAAAACAAUAAGAGAACCUAAACACAUGCUAAUGAGCUUACCAGAUCACCCCCAACUCCAACAAGGGCUCUGGCAGGUGAUCAGCCCUUUAAACCCCACCAAGGGGUUUUCCUGUGGUUACAAGUUCAUAACAGCUGUUAGCUCUGACACCCCCAUGAAUCUUAGAGUCCCUCCUUUAUGCAACUCAGGGCUCUGAUCUUCAGAUUCUGGUAACAGGUAAUCAGCAGACAAUGGGUUUCCCCAUAGGUAGGGUGACCAGAUGUCCCAUGUUUAAAGGGACAGUCCCAUUUUUGGGGACUUUUUCUUAUAUAGGCGCCUAUUACCCCCCACCCCCUGUCCCGUUUUUUCACAGUUGCUAUCUGGUAACCCUACCCUACCCCUUCAAAUGAUUGGGUCUGGAGGUGGGAUUUUACUUCCUUCCAAGUAUUUCCUAGGAAAUCCAGUCAGCUUUGUUUGUCGUAAAGGUUCCUUCUUGUCUGACACAUUGUUUAAAAUGGGCCUUUGAAGCUCAACACAUUGGUCACCCCCCACCCCAGUGAAGUUACAUAUAACCCCACAA